AAAUGAAUAGACGGGAACCCGCACAAGCGGUGGAGUAUGUUGUUUAAUUCGAGGAUACACGAAGAACCUUACCAGGUCUUGACAUACCAUUGCCUAGUUUAGAGAUAGACUGUUUACCUUCGGGUAACAAUGGAUACAGGUGGUGCAUGGUUGUCGUCAGCUCGUGCCGUGAGGUGUUGGGUUAAGUCCCGCAACGAGCGCAACCCCUAUUGAUAGUUGCUAAUAUUAAGUUAAGGACUCUAUUGAGACUGCCAGCGACAAGCUGGAGGAAGGUGGGGAUGACGUCAAAUCAUCAUGCCCCUUAUGACCUGGGCUACAAACGUACUACAAUGGCCAGACACAAAGAGAAGCGAAGCUGCGAAGUGAAGCGAACCUCAUAAAAAUGGUCUCAGUUCGGAUUGGAGUCUGCAACUCGACUCCAUGAAGUCGGAAUCGCUAGUAAUCGUGAGUCAGCAGAUCACGGUGAAUACGUUCCCGGGUUUUGUACACACCGCCCGU
This 498-nucleotide ribosomal RNA is filed under the name uncultured bacterium. RNAcentral's name for it is "bacterial SSU rRNA". It matches the Rfam family "Bacterial small subunit ribosomal RNA", at positions 903 to 1397 of the family's 1533-position model. The record is from RNAcentral.